Long non-coding RNA from Esox lucius (northern pike), 19720 nucleotides. The record is from Ensembl. Lineage: Eukaryota; Metazoa; Chordata; Actinopteri; Esociformes; Esocidae.
CAGAAAUGUGUUCGUAAGACAUAAGUUUGUCUUAUAAGCUUAAGUACCAUGACUUUAUUACACAAGAACAGACAAGCAUUUUAAUGAUAUUGCAAUACAAUAUUGGCAAUCUUCCACAUUCUAACCAAGUGUCAUGAAAUAGAUCUAAGCUUUGUCAGUGGGGAACAAUGCCAUAAACAUGGGCCUGCACUCCAUCCUAGAACACUUGAAAAUGCAGAACCGAAUGUAAUAGCUUAAAAGCAUAGGCUUAACUAACUAUGUUGAGGAAGGGAAUGGGAGUGUUAUCCCUUCCUUCUAGCCACAACCAAAGCCCUGAAGGAUGCAUUUCCUGCACUAACAAUUGUCCAGGCGUCAUUACAUACAUACUGAUAAGUCAUUACACACAUACUGAUACAUCACUGUGAAAUAUGCAUUGCAAACAAUGUAAUCCGGACCCAAAAGCAUUCCAUACUGUUGCAUUUUAGCUCUGCAUUUCAAAGACUAGUAAACAUGACCAUCAUUUGAGUUGGAUUUCCUAACUCCGUGAACAGUUCAGCCGAUGUGGCUGUAUUUUCCCAUUGCCUUGUUUGAUUUACAGGGUUAGGGGUUAGCUGUACUAUACGCAGCUACUGAUGAUUUUACCCAGGAUAUCCUCAACUAACCUUUCUUGUCCUUGGCCAGAUUCAUUACCCAGUCUAGUGGGUGGCAGUCUGUGUCUCUAACCCCUACACUAUUUAACAAUGGGGGAGUCAGUCACUCACUCAGUCAGAGACAUUCACUCUUCAUGGCCGGCACCGCUUACACGUUCCUGCAGAAAUGUGUUCGUAAGACAUAAGUUUGUCUUAUAAGCUUAAGUACCAUGACUUUAUUACACAAGAACAGACAAGCAUUUUAAUGAUAUUGCAAUACAAUAUUGGCAAUCUUCCACAUUCUAACCAAGUGUCAUGAAAUAGAUCUAAGCUUUGUCAGUGGGGAACAAUGCCAUAAACAUGGGCCUGCACUCCAUCCUAGAACACUUGAAAAUGCAGAACCGAAUGUAAUAGCUUAAAAGCAUAGGCUUAACUAACUAUGUUGAGGAAGGGAAUGGGAGUGUUAUCCCUUCCUUCUAGCCACAACCAAAGCCCUGAAGGAUGCAUUUCCUGCACUAACAAUUGUCCAGGCGUCAUUACAUACAUACUGAUAAGUCAUUACACACAUACUGAUACAUCACUGUGAAAUAUGCAAAACAUGUGUCUAAUGGCUACUCGGCAUCAAAACAGUCAUUUCUACCCUGCGGGCUGGCUGAACUGGGCCUGCUUAGUUUUUAUUUCAGGUUUCUUUCAAUGUUUAGAUUCAGUUUUUCCAUUUUCUUUGAGUCUGUCCCCUACAAGCAGGGCCGGCUCCAGGCAUAAGUGACAUAUGCAGUUGCUUAGGGCCCCCGACCACUAGGAUGCCCCCGACUGCUAGGGAGCCCCCGACUGAUUGAGGAGAGGGGGACCCAAAUUAAAUUUUGCUCAGGACCCCCACAAAGAAGCUAGAGCCGGCAAUGCCUACAAGCCUACUGGUACAGUGUUGGGAAUCUAACCCUAGUAGCCCAUCUUCUAACCUCUCUAUACAUUGACCAGGCUAUAUAUGUAUCCCAGCUUUUUUGGUCUUUGCAAGUAGAUAAUUGUAUGCUUGUAACCUGGACACGGCAUGUUAUUCUCUCUGGGGCAGCUGACUGUUUAGACAUAAUGGUGGGUCUGGGGAAUCCAAAAUACUUUGCUAUUGUUCAUGCUCCAAAACAGGUAUACACAGAUAAGCCAGAACCUGACCACCUGCCUAAUAUGCUGUUCGUCCUGCUUGUGCCACCAAAACAGCACCAACCCUCAAAGGCAUGGACUCUACAUUACCACUGAAGUUGUCCUGUGGUACAGUAUCUGGCGCUAAGACAUUAGCAGCAGAUCCUUCAAGUCCUGUAAGUUGUGAGGUGGAGCUGCCGUGGAUUGGACUUGCUGGUCCAGCACAUCCCCCAGAUGUUCAAUUGGAUUGAACUGUCCAUCAUGUUCCUGAAACCAUUCCUGAACAGUGUGUGCAGUUUGGCAGGGUGCAUUAUCCUGCUGAAAGAGGCCACCGCGGCUCUGCAACCCCAUACGCAUCAGGGUGCGAUGCACUGUGUGUUGUGACACAUUCCUCCCAUAACCACCAUUAAUAUGUGACUUGGGCCACGGUUCGGACCAGACGGGAUAGCCUCUGUUGCCCUUGCACAUUGAUGAUUCUUGGGCACCCAAUACCCUGUCGCUGGUUUCUGGCUUGUCCCUCCUCGGACCAGUGUCGGUGGGUACUCACCACUGCAGACCGGGGGAACCACACAAUCCAUGCCAUUUCAGAGAUGCUCUGACGCAGUUGUCUGGCCUUAACAAUUUGGCCCUUGUCAAAGUCGCUCCUCCUGCCUGUUAGUCUUUUCUCCUGCCCGUUUUUCCUGCAUUUAACACGUUGACUACACUGCAAAACAUUUCUUUAAAAAAUAGGAAAACUUAAACUUAACUAUGUCUGAGGAGAUAAAUGACUGAAAUAAUCUGCCAAUGGAACAAAGCAAAUUGAUAUCCAAGGCAUAUUUUCUAAUACCAAGCAAUAUUAUCUAACACAACUUCAGCUUGUUCAAAAACAUUUACCUUAUUUUAAGGAUGGUUAGAUUUUUUUAACCCGACAACAAGAUAAAUAUAUUUCUUAAGACAUUUUUUUUUGCAGUGUACGAGAAUUGAUUGAUCACUUGCCAUCUAAUCUACCAAGACCUUGACAUGUGCCCUUGUUAGGAGAUGAUCAAUGUCAUUUGCUUCACCUGUGAGUGCUCGUAAUGUUUUGGCUCAUCAGCGUAUAACGCUCGCCCUUUCCUUUACACUCAGUGACUGACUAAACAAGUGGGACUAAUGACUCCCUUCUAUAGAGUAGCACUUAUGAAACAGACCGUGCCCCAUAUGUAACAUGUAUGUGUAUUCCACCACUACUCACCCGCCGCAAUAUGUGCUGUGUUUAUAUGCGCUGUGUGAGUGUAUGCAUUCUGUUUAUAGCACCACCACUUAUGAUCUAGAGCUAUGCAGUCUGUGUGUGUGUGUUUGUAUGAACAUCUGUGACAGUACAGUAUAUACCAGAAUAUAGGUGGGGUUGAAUGUUGGGGUUGGGGGGGCAUUCACAUCACUUAAACAUAGAUCUCCAAUAUAACAGACAUGUCUUUCCUAUACAACGUGUCACACUCCCUGCAUGUAUGAGGCUGGAGCCAUCCAUUAUCUCUGCGCAGAAAUGGGCUAAAAUCAUAUUUUCACUGGGCUUGACUGAACUUGCCGUCAUGGAACUAGUGGAAUAAUCACAAGUGUCGACCCCAUCCAUCUAAAGCAGAUUUUAAACACAUUCCUAAACUAUUGUAAAUAUAUCAAAUACUAUUUAAAACCAGGUCUGUACAAAAUAGCAAGCCCCUGCUUUGGAGAGCAGGGCGAUAUGAUGCAUUAACCAGGGUUAGCCUUUGCAGCUGGAGUAUAAAACAGGUGUUAGCUGCCAGUGUGCGUGUGCGUGUGUGUGUGUGCGUUUGUGUGCGUGUGUGUGCGCGUUUGUGUGCGUGUGGGUGGCUGUGCGUAAUUCAGCUCUGUGUGUUCAUGUGGAAAAGAUACUAAAAGAUAGUAAAAACUGAACAAUUACUUACCACAAAGAUUAUUUUUGGCAGGUAUGUGAUUUCUGGCUCAGGGCUUAGGUUUCAGGAAAAACAUGCAAUUGAGCAUAGUGUUAACACUGGGUUUGAUUUGAGGUUUAUGCAUCACUGGUUAUGUUCAAGUGAUAGGGAGCUAUGUUAGGUUUAGUUCAAGGUUAGGAUAAGGGUUCAUUUUAGGACUAGGAACCAUGAAUAUCUGGUCAGGUUUUGGUCUUAGGUCCCCACAAGGAUAGAAAGAAAAAGCUGUGUGUGUGCGUGUGUCUCUUUUUCUGUGUGUACGUUAUACUACAUUGGUCGGGACCAUACACCCCAGCAAGGAUUGCAAAACAAGAAAAAUGCUACCUCAUGUUGAAAGUCCCCCUGAGAACAAAGAAUAUUUUCAGCUUAGGUUAGAAUUGGGGUUAGAGUUAGAAUUAGGGUUUAGUGGUUAGCGAGAAUCUGAUUUUUGAAUUGGAAUAACUGUUGGGUUACCCAUAAGGAUAGUAAAGCCUAAAAUAUGUGUGUGUGUGAGUGUGUGUGUGUAAUGUGGGUCCCAGUGGAGAAGAGUCUAUCGAUGUCAGCUUAAUCAGUCAGCCACAACCUAAGCAAAACGUCAAGUAGACGGAGGGUUCAGGCAAUCUCCCUCACAGUGGCUGGUUACGGGAUUGGAUGUAUGGAAGAGAAAUGGACAUACUCUUGACUUGCUUUUAGCCGUGUGUAUGCACACGCUGACCUAGGCACCUGCUCAGUGUUAGGUUAGGUGUGACCAAGUGUGCAUCCUCUACACAUCACAGUGCACUACUUAAGGCUAUUAGCCUUACAGGGCUCUGGUCAAAAGUAGUGAACUAUAAAGGGAGUAGGAUGCCCUUUGGGAUGUAACCCAUGUGUCAAAAUAUACAGGGGUUGCAGCCUGGCUGUAAGUAGUUGAGCUUUACAGCCUGCUGCAGGCCUAUGCAUGGUUUUUAUUGUGCUUACAUUGGGGAUCUGUAAGACGUGGUGUAGGCUAGCUGAGCGAAUUACACUCUUAGUAAUGUAAUGCUAACGUCAUAUGGUACGCUAACUCACUAUCUCUGCCCCCUCUCCUCUGUUGCUGCCACAAAGAUAGGCUAAUCCAUCCACACUGGUGGCUAUUAUGACAUUCCUGUGUUCAGUGUUGAAUGAAGAGCGACCACAAGAACAUGGGUAAAGGGCAGCGUGGGUCGUGAGAAUGGACUAAUCUUAUCUUAUUGCCUCUCACUUCACUUUUUUAAGAGAAUAAUCUUCUCCACUGCCAUCUCCCCUUUUACGACCAUGACAUGAUAUGCACACCUCUCUUUAUCCCCUAUGUCUCUCUCUCUUCCUUUCACGCUGCCUCUCUUUUCCCAACCAUAGUCUCUUAUCUACUUUCUUUCUUAAAAUCUAUCAUCACUCUCUCUCGUUCCCUCUCUCUCCCAUCCCUCUCAGCUAUAUAGAGUUCCUUUUCCACAGCUCCAUUCAGUGGGUUCCUCCAGUCUAAAGGAUCUGUCUUCUUGGCACAGAUGCCCUGUCUCUGCUCCAAAUCAAGCCCUAUUUCCUUUGCAGUGCACUACAUUUAACUAGAGCCCAUAUGGGUUCUUGACAAAAGUACUGAACUACAUAGGGAAUAGGGUGUCAUUUGGGAUACUAGCCCUGACUGAACUCCGGAGGUGACAUCAUCGCCCAGCACCAUGUGACCUGCUGUGGGCAAACCUUCCCAUGCUGGUUCACACCAGGAUUACAGUUCAACUCUCUCUCUCACCAUCUCUCUUUCUCACACCCUCUCUCCAUCUCCAGAUCUCUUCUAGAGAGACAAGUCCUAGUUCAACCUAAUUUCUUUAUGGUUAUAUUACUGUUCCUGUAAACACAGAGCUAUAAUGUAGACUAUUGAAUAGUUCACCUUUCCGUGUGCACGUGUGUUUGUGUGUGUGUGUGUGUGUGUGUGUGUGUGUGCGUGUGUGUGUACAUGUGGAUCACAUGAGAUUAAGGCCUAUAUUAGAAAGUUUGUCCAGGUGGGGAAAACUCUCCACUAGGGGUGUGGGUUUCAAUGGACUGCCCACUAAGCGGUUAAGGUACAAUUCUGGAGACAAUGGUUUAAGGUCUAAAUCCUCUUAGUGAGGGCUCUGGCUGCAUUCCAUAUCCCCUAUAUAUUGACCAGCUGGUCAAAGGUAGUGCACUAAAUUAGGAAUAGUAUGACACUUGGGAUGCCUCUUGUGUAUGUACCAAGAACUGAGACGAGGCAUUCUGAUCCUGUUUAUUUUCCAGGCGUAAAGCUAGCAGGUUUCAGGAACUGAGAGCUCUGGUCAGAGGGCUGUGCUGUUGGAGGAUAGAGGUGCUCUGGUCAGAGGGCUGUGCUGUGGGAGGAUAGAGGUGCUCUGGUCAGAGGGCUGUGCUGUGGGAGGAUAGAGGUGCUCUGGUCAGAGGGCUGUGCUGUGGGAGGAUAGAGGUGCUCUGGUCAGAGGGCUGUCCUGUGGGAGGAUAGAGGUGCUCUGGUCAGAGGGCUGUGCUGUGGGAGGAUAGAGGUGCUCUGGUCAGAGGGCUGUGCUGUGGGAGGAUAGAGGUGCUCUGGUCAGAGGGCUGUGCUGUGGGAGGAUAUAGGUGCUCGGGUCAGAGGGCUGUGCUGUGGGAGGAUAUAGGUGCUCGGGUCAGAGGGCUGUGCUGUGGGAGGAUAGAGGUGCUCUGCAGCGUGGCAGAGUCAUGGUGUACCAUGUUGAACUGUGACCUUUGCACUAGAGGCGUCCCGGCCUUGUGGUCUCUGUGGCACUUGGUUGGUUGUUAUUUAUGUCAGGACGGGAAUGGGAAACUGAUCCUCUUAACAGGCUGGAAUUGGCCCGUAUUCAGGAAGGUGUCACUGUCACAAUCGUACCUGGGGUUGGGAACCUGCAGAGAGAGAGAGAGAGAGGGAGGCGUGGGGGGCGGGAGAGAGAAAUGCCUGAACUUAAUAUGGCUUUGUUGUUUUGAAAAAUUACAGUACUCUGUGUAUUAUUGAAUUUUAGAGUAGGAGAUGGAUACAAGCAGAUUAGCAGGUAGGGUUUCAGAAUAGGACAAUAAAUUAAGAUACUAUAGCGGACUGCACAGUACAAUGCUUUACUACAGUAUCUAAUGGACUGGAUUGGUUUUUCAGCCCUCAGUGACGGGAACCAUUUAGAUUCAUGUAUGAUAACCAAUCAUAUUUAGUCCCUGGGUGCUGCUGGUUAGUCCUUGUUCUGCUGUAGCAAACUGGACUGACCAAUAAUCAUGGGUCUCCCAAAUGACAAACUAUUCCCUUCAUUAUGUGCUACUUUUGACACCCAGAGAGAACAGGUACAUCCCAACAAACCUCUCUGCUCCAGCCUUGUUCUCUCCACUCCUUCUCUGUCCAUCUCUACAUGCCCACAACUAAACCAGUAUUCUUAACUAAUCCACAGUCAGUUUCAAAAUUGUUGUCUGAAGAUUUUUUGGAACCUCCUCUCCCUCUUGCUCCCUCUCUACUCUCUUGCUUCCAGAUGUUUCUAUAACCACGUGUUAACUAUAAAAAGAGAAGCAGCCAGGCCAAGAUAACACUCAUUCAAUUGAUUUAUCGGAAGCAAAUACUAUCACUCUGUUUUAUUUUAAAGAGGAGUCCUCCAUUUCCCCAAAACCAAUCAAUAACGAAUGGUUCGUUUUAUUGGGCAUGUACAAUGAAUGUGUAAUAAAUCUCAGUUGAAGUUGACACAACAUUGACAAAACGUCUGUAAAAUAGAGAAUGGCUCGUAUUACAAUGUCAUUGUAAUGCAGUACCAGCCUGUAUCCGCACCAUAAAACCCACAUGAAUCCACAUCAGAGACAAUAUGGUUUACUGCAUCUAUACAAGAUGGUGUUCAACCCUGGGAAUUCAGAUACUGUCCAGGGAAACGUAACACACGGUACAUCACCAACUUAUUUUCCUAGAAAGCAAAAGAACAUACGAAGAAGAAAAGAACACACAGCAAAACGUUGUAAAAAAACUGUAAAAAUAAAACCCACAAAUAGAGAGUGGUUUAGAGCUAAAGUAACGAAAGGAAGGAAGGCUUGGACGCAUUCGCGACUUCCUGUUUGACGUCCCGCACUGCAACCCCAGGGCUGCUCGGUGCCGUCGUUGUGGCGCAGCACCUCGUGAGGAGGGAGUGCUAGAGUGCACCGCCCUCUAUGAAAUCUUAUAUCACCCCUGAAAAUACCCCUCUGGUAUCCCUGCGGCGGGGUUCAACUCCCGCAGUAAUGUGUCCAUGGUCUUCUAACUUAGGUCCAUACCAACUAACCCAUGUAGAACCCAAGUUACCAGACCAUCAGAGAGAAAUGUGGUCCCAGCACCAUGCGGCUAGACCAAGAGUUAAAUCUGUCUCUGCUGUGGCUGGGACCAGAACAGACCCCUGUAGUGCUACUUAUUAGGUUGACGUGAUGUGGAGUCACUAAGUCACUGAGUCAGAGCUGGAUCGGGCCGGGUCCCUGACAUGAUUGACGGUGUCUGUCUGUUCUGUCAGCACCCCCGCUGAGUUAGGGAGCUGCACAUGAUUUUCCUCAAAACCGAUUUCCCUCAAAACCAAACAGCUGGCAGCAGAUGCGAAUGGCUUGUGUGGGAGGAUUAUUUACGUGUUUCCCCAUAAAGCGAGGUCAGCGGCGGAUGCCAGAAUCACAUCUCAGUUAUUACCAUGGUGGGUUGGUCACCACGAGCCAAGAAAGCCAUGACUUGCGAUAAACACAAAAGUAAUUACAAUUUAAGGAGGCCUCUGUGUUGUUCCAAGCAACAAACGCACGAUACAGGCGGUGUGAAACGACAGCAUUUGGGUUCCACGUCAAUCUGUGUGUCUCCAGAGUUCAAUGUGUAUAUGCACCUGCAUGUGUCUUUGCAUAGCGUGUGUGCAUCCGGAGGAGUUUGGGUCGUAACUGUCCUCCUCACCUUGUCCGCGUUUAUGUUCUAUGGAAAACUUUCAGGUUGCAUCCCAAACGGCAGCCUAUUCCCUCUUGAAGACGUGAAGAGACUCUCUCUCAGUGCUUUCAUGACAUAGCAAAAUACACUUCUGGGUCAAAGAGUUCAAAGCUGAGAGCAAGCCAACUAACCCUGUCGCAAUGCCAAACAUCACAGGCUGUAAAACUGGAUAAAGGAUCUCCUUUCAUCUGAGCCGCAUUGGGCUUUCUUUACACGUAUAAAAAAAAAUAUCUCAGUUUACUAUAGUAUUCUGUAGUAAACUAUAAUUGCUAAAACAGCUGGUCAAACUAGCAAAAUGUGACAGAAUAUCACCAUUUGCGUCACAACGAAAUUUCAUUAACAUUUAUGUUCAUCACUCACCAUGUUAGGCCGUCAGAUGCUCCCCAAAAUAUGUCUUUGCAAAAACAAAUCAAUGAUAGUUAACUUGCUAACUCUUUCAUCAUUGGAACUGCAUUCACAGUAUCCAAUUUUGGUUUUUGUGUGGUAGUUGGUCAACAUUUCUGUAUAUUUGCACCAAGUAGAUUCUGUGCAUGAAAAUGUCCAAUAACUGUUCUAGCUAAUUGGAAAAUGAACUGCCAUUUUAGAAUACACUUUGGACGAAUUAAUGAAAGCUCCUCCACAAUUCUGUGGUACAACACAUCAUGGUAUUGUUCAAUCGUGUGAUGUACUUAAAUUACAGAAUUGUGCAGAAUACUUUAUAAUAUUAUAUUACACACUGCAGUAUCCCUUCAUCAUGUAGUGCUAGAACAUAGUAGUAUAUUGGAGAAUACUAUACUACAAACUGUGUUGAGGUAUAGGAUUUCCUGUGCAUUUGUCUCACCCCUCCUCCCCCAGUCUUUAUGACUAGACACUGUAAAGAGGGGUAGAAAGUUGCAACCAGGCUGGUAGCAAGGGGGAGCAAAACAGUUGAAAUUUCAGUGCAUUCAGUUUUACGUCCCAGUAUAAAAACAGAGAAGUUCAAAUCAUUUUUGGUGUAAAAUAUGUCAGCACAAUGGAAGAAGCCUUUGGAUUUGCGUAGUAUGGCAAAACAAAUGCUGCAUCUUUAACCAUAGUCUGUAAUAUUAGAUUUUUUAGGGCAGAAUCUAGUGAUGAAGCUGCUUCACUAAACUCAGUCUUACGUGCCUCCACAAAAGAGGUUACAUCCUAGCUUUCACUGUUAAACAUUAAUAAUAGUCAUCGGCCAUAGCCAAUUAUCCCGAACCAGCUAAUUUCUCACCACAAAAAUAGAUAUCAGAAAUUGGCAUUGCCGAAGUACCUUCAGUAUACAAAGGAGUAGGUGGGCAAGCAGUUGCAGCAGCGUUUAAACCGCUGAGGCAGAGCCCCGCCACAGCGAUAAGGCUGCCUUGUUCCAGCUAGCUCCGUAUGGAUUCUAUCUCCUGUUCCACAAGCGCAGCCAGGAGAAUGGCUCCACAGCUCCCCCAACCUCAGACUGUUCCCGGUGAUCUUAAAACAGAGGCACUAGCCUAAGUUAGCCUAGAUUUCUAUCUCAUAGCAGUCGGUUCAAAGCGCUUCUAUUGCUUCAUUGAUCACAUGAGAGUCAGAUCCACAGAUAUAUAUGGUUCCGUAUCAUAAUGUUGCUGAAUCUUCUGAGGGUCUGAUCUUCCACAUUUGAAGCAGGACUAUGGAUUGAAAUAGCAUGAUUCAUAAUCCCUGAAAAACCUUUCGGCACAACUGGAAGAGCAUCUCUUUGCAUGGUUGCACCCGUCAAUACUUCCAUGGGGGACAUGUAGAGUGGAAUUUCAAUACCUUCGGUUCAGUGUAGGCUUACCCCACCUCAGUGUUUUGAUGGCUAUGGAAAUACCUAUAGGACAAGUGGACUUCCAUCAAUGUUUGCUUAAUAUUAGCAGAGCUGUUCUGCCUGAAUGAAACACAGACUAUAUUUGAAGCCAUUCCAAAAUCAAUAUCACAUUUUAGAGUUUUUGGGGGAUGAUAAGGCAUUCAUUAUUAAGGUGAUAAGCCUGGUAUUUGGUAAGACUGUUGUCCAUGGCUGCAUCUCACUUCUUCAGGCCAUUACAUAGUGGUUAUUUGGAUGUUACUGUUUCGUUUGUUUAGUGUUAACCUAGCCUUUAGUCUCCUUUUGCAUAUUUGUGGCCUUUUUGUCUGCUUGAAUGAGUCUGGUCAUUCUCCUCUGACCUCUCUCACUAACAACUGCCCACACAACUGCAGCUAUUUGGAUGUUUGUUGUUUAUCACCCAAUUUUCUUUAAAGUAAAGCAAUUGCAGUGAGUGAAAAUCCCAGGAGGUCAGCCAUUUGUAAGAUGCUUGAACAACUACGUCUGGCACCAACAAUCACACAACGGUCAAAGACGCUUAGAUUCCUUUCCAAAAAAGUUCUCUUAAUUUUAACCCUUCUUUUCCACACUGAAAACCUACCUUUUCGACUUUUUUGGAAAGGAAAGAAAAAGAUGCUGUGGUCUCUUAAUUUUUUGUAUGUUGAGUUGCAGCCCCAUGAUUUGCUGUUUGGCUAUUGGUGUUAACACACAAUAGUACAUAAUAAAGUGACUGGUGAGACUAGCUGUGGUAUAAUUGUACUGUUCUGUUUUGUUAUUUUCUAAAUUAUUCUUCAGCAUCUAAACUGCUAUUCAGAAUUUCUGUCUGUGUGAAUUUACCCCACUUUCAGUGUUUUGUUCAAUUGUUCUGGUAAGCCAACUCUGCCUAUAGCUGCAUUAACAUUGUUUGAAAUUAGUAAAUGACUCUUUGUUUGCUGUCCUUGGUGUGUUGUUAUGAUGGGGCUACACAUUUCAGGACACAUUUUCACCUCAAAUGUAUUCAGUGGUCUCAGCAUUUGAACUUCAGUAGAGUGACAAUAAGCAGAAUUCAAUGCAAUUCCAAUGCUAGAACUGAAAAUAAUGUGACCCCAUGCUGAUUUGAACUGCCCUCUCCGUUCAUCCAGCAGCCAUGCCUGGUUGCAGCCCUGAACUGACACUUACAAGUCUCAAGUUUCUUUCUCACAAAACAGCAGAAGAGCUGAACUUUUAACCCUUCAGUCCAUACAGUAGUCCUGUUUUCUAACAGGUUUUGGAACACAUGUUCUUUUAGGAUUGCUUUUCCAGACUCAGAUUAAAAAUAACCCCUACUGAGAUUUUCCACUGAGCCUGAUCUUUUGACAGGGCUAGACUGAAUCUGAAGUCAGGUGUCUGCGUUGCCUUCAGAACAACCUGAAUGUUUUGUUUUCUGGAUUCUACAAGGUUGGGAAAUGCUCCACAGGGAUGCUGAUACACAUCACUGACAUGACCGUGUUACACCGUUGCUGGAAGUUGGACGUCAGAAUAUUCAUAAAAGCUCUAUUUGCUUUAAGUCUGGUGACUGCGCAGGCUAUUGAAGUUAACUGAACUUGUUGUCAUGUUCCUGAAACCUUCUGAAGCAACACAAACAUUGUGACAUGUGCCACAUAUUCUCAAUGUAUCCACGUGGCACUGGGUAAACUGUGGCCAUGAAGGGUUUCACCAAGUCAGACAAACCGGCACUAAAAUGUUGCUCAAUUUGUAUCAAGGGACCUACAAUAUGCCAAGAAAACAUUCCCCACACAUUACACCAUCACCAGUACCGAUGACACCAGGCAAAAUGGAUCCGUGGUCUCAUGCUGCUAACGCCAAAUCCUGAAUCACCAACAGGAACUGGGAUUCAUCAAACCAAAGCAAUGCUUUUCCAAUCCUCAACUUUCAAGUGUAUGCGAUCACCUCCCUACUACAUCUGCUUCUUCUGCUGUUAGCCGAUAGGAGUGGACCUGGUGUGGUUGUCUGUUGCAGUAGCCCAUCAGCACCAAAGAACAUUCACGUCCUGGCAUGGCAGGUUGCCAGCUACUAGUGAGAUGCAAUGCCCUCUCUUCCUCACUUGGAUCAUGGACACCACUUUUGCUGUUUAUUGCCCUAACCUAUUUCCCUAAUUGCUGUCCCUAUUUAAGUUUCUCUUUUCCUAGUGUGUCUUGUCGGUCUUUGUUUUGGUUUCAUCCAUUUGUAAUGUUGUUCUUCCUCUGGGAUUUUGUAUUUGUUUGGUACAUUUGCGUUACUUUAUUAAAGGUCUUCCGUUCUCCCGGCACGUGUCCUGCUUCAUCGUUCAACGUUGCAGGCCCAGUGAGUUAAGGUUAGUUUCAGCUAUGUCAUUCAUCUGCGCAUCACUGUUUACCUGUGCAGUUAUUAUUAAUAUUACUGAGCCUGUUUGUGGCCACAAUCCACGCCAUUCUCUUUCGACCUCUGCAACACUAAUAGCACACAUGCUUGAGCUAGCUAGCAUAACUGGAUAUGUUUUGAAGGAGAGGGGUUUUGCGUCUGUAUAGGUAAAAGUUCGAUCUUAUUCCAGUUAGUUCUGUAUCCAGACAUGGUACCAAACAAAUUAAUCAAGUAGAACAGGAAUAUUAGAGUGGGGUUUAGGUACAUAAAGGUUAUUGUUAUAUACUUAAAGAGACGUUUAGUGUUUUUAGUAUUUUAGCCAUGUGUUGCUACAUGAGAUCUUAUGGCUUGAGCUAGCAGCAUGAUGGCCAGAGAUAGACAAAGAGGUGAAAGUGUAAAACUCUGCCUCAUCCAUCAAUGGAGUUUAAAUUGCUGUGACAGUGAUUGAUUGAUAGAUUGGUGAGUAUUUGAGUGCAAUAAUUAUGGUAUAGAAGUUGGAUCCAUAUUAUAAAUCUGCCUGCAAUCUUACAUCAUUGUAGGACAACAAAUAAGCAUUUAUUCAUGCUAGGGCGGACAUGUGCGAAUCUCUUAAAAGCAUAAACCCUCGCAAGGCUCCUGUUCUGGACAAUAUCCCUGGCCUCAAGGUACGUGCUGACCAACUGGCUGAUAGUCCCCAAGUUUCAAGGAGACCACCACUGUCCCUGUCCCCCAAGAAAAGUACUCUGCCCAAACAUCUCCUGCCCUAGAGCACUAACAUCCCUAGUCAUGACGCGCUUCAGCGGUAAGUCUAAGGACAUAUCACCACCUCCCUACCCUCAUCUUUAGAUCCACUACAAUUUUCUUGGAGACCAAACUUGCCCUCCACUCUGCCGCCUCUCAUCUGGACCGAAGGAAUACAUAUGUGAGAAUGCUGUUUGUUGGUCGUAGUUCAGCAUUCAACUCAAUUGUGCCCCACAAGCUCGUGGUGAAGCUCAGGGAUCUGGGCCUCCACACCGGCCAGUGUCCGCGGACCUCAGGUCGUUCGGAUGGGCAGCUCCACCUAAUCCACACUGACUCUCAGCAUGGGCGUCCCACAAGGCUGUGUGCUCAGUCCCCUCCGGUACUCCCUGUUCAAGCAUGACUCCGGGCCCCCGCACUCCUCUGACAUCACUGAGAAGUUCGCAGACGACACCACUGUCAUUGGCCUGAUCUCCGAUACUGAUGAGACUGCCUAAAGAGAGGCAAUCAGAAUCUUGUCAUCAUUGUGUCAGGAUGACGACCUCCAGCUUAACGUCAGCAGAACGAAGGAGCUGAUUGUGGACUACAGGACAGGAGGAAACGGGGGAAGCCAUGCCCCUAUCCACAUCAAUAGGCCUGCAGAGGAGAGAGUCUGCAGCAUCAGGGUCCUCCGGGUCAGAGUCAGCGACAUUCUGUCCUGGUCUCUCUAUUCCAACAUCGUUAUCAAGGAGGCAAGGAAACGUCUCUUCUUCCUAAGCCGACUAAAGAGGUGGACUCCACGAGGAGUGGACUCCAGGAUACUCACCAACAUCUACAGGUGCAUCACUGAGAGUAUCCUGACGGGCUGUAUCUCCACCUCCACAGUAUCCUGACUGGCUGUAUCACCGCCUCCACAGUAUCCUGACAGGCUGUAUCACCGCCUCCACAGUAUCCUGACUGGCUGUAUCACUGCCUACACAGUAUCCUGACUGGCUGUAUCACAGCCUCGUAUGGCAGCUGCACUGUCCUUGACCAAAUGGCUCCAUAGAGGGUGGUCAAGAUGAUUCACCUGGAGGGACCGGCCAUCUCUGCAGGACUUGUAUAGGUAUACACACAGGUGCAGGAAGAAGGCCCUACGCUUCAUCAGGGACCCAUGUCAUCAGGGACCCAUGUCAUCAGGGACCCAUGUCAUCAGGGACGGAUGUCAUUAGGGACCCAUGUCAUCAGAGACCCAUGUCAUCAGGGACGGAUGUCAUUAGAGACCCAUGUCAUCAGGGACCCAUGUCAUCAUGGACCCAUGUCAUUAGUGACCCAUGUCAUUAGGGACUCAUGUCAUCAGGGACCCAUGUCAUUAGGGACACAUGUCAUCAGGGACCCAUGUCAUUAGGGACCCAUGUCAUCAGGGACCCAUGUCAUCAGGGACCCAUGUCACCCCAACAUGAACUUUCUCCCUGUUUUGCUCUGGCAGGAGAUACAGGACCAUCCUGUCCACAACCAACAGGUCCCAGGAAAGCUUCUUCCCCCAGGCCUUAAGACUGUUGAAUCUUUGAACACAUUUAAUAAUGUACUAUUGCAAUAGAGGAAAUAACAUUACCAGAUGAAUGCUGGAACCUACCUAACGCUGCUUAGAAGAGUGACACAAUGAACACUUAUCAAUUUUAUUAUGUACUAAAUUUCUUCUUCUAUAUUGUUCUUAUUCUAUUUUUUAUUCUAUUAUAUUACUUAUGCCAGAAAUGUUGAGGGUGUUUUUGGAAAACAAGCAUUUCAUUAACAACAAUGCUGUUGCUAUUGUGUAGUGACAAAUAUACUUGAAUUUAUACACUCUGUGUAGACUACAUUUAGGUUAUCAAUUAUAAGAUCUGUAGCAGCAUUUCUCUUUCCUGGGGGCACCAAAGGCUUGCUUAGUAGUUUGCAUUUCACUGAUAUUCUGUUGAUGCUAAUUUGAUAUAAAAUCCUUUAGGUACCGUAUUUCUCUUGUGUUCUGGCUCUGCCUAUUUGGCCUUGCAUUAGGGAGGGAAUGAGUAAGUAAGGGAGUGAGUGAGGGAAUGAAUGAAUGAGUAAGUGCAUAUGUGACUGCAUAAUUGGAUAAGUAAGUUAAUUAGUAAGUGAUUGAGUAAGUGAAUAAAUUAGCAGGUGAGUGAGUAAAUGAAUGAGUUAAAGGUUGUUGGAAAUAUAAAAAUUGGUGUAAGCAUUGCGAUGAUGUCUCAUGCAGCUUGACAUUAAGUUUUUUCAGUUUAUUGAAAAAAUACAUUCCCUUUUUCUACCUUCAGGCAAUGCUCAAACCCUACAUACAUUUUCUAGCUUUUAGUUCCCAUUUGGUCUUUUGGCUGAACCACCCAACAGGGGGUCAGAUCUGCCAUUCAAUAGCCCUUUGCAGCCCAGAAGUGUAGCUGUCCCCAUACAGUGCCUUGUUGCAACUUACACAAUAAAUGUAUGUUGCUAAUACUAAACAUUGAUUUACUCUAAUCUUUUUUCUGUUCAUUACAUGGAAUGUUAAACGAGGACGUGUAACUGCAUUCUAGCAAUCUUUGUAAUAAAGCAAAUUCAUCGUGGUCAAUAUUUGUUUUUUAAAAGGAAAUUAUUUACAAUUAACUCAGAACUUUCACUUUUACUUUGUUACACAAACAGUUUUCACUUUGCCUUGAGUAAAUUGUCAUUAAAUUAAUAGUAUUUCCAUACUCUUUCCAUUUCUGGAAGUAUGUGGGUCUGUCCAAAAUAGGGCACUGCUUAUCCCUGGAGUUAAAUGGUGCCCUUUCAGGCUCUAUUCAAAAGUAAUGCACUCUGUUGAAAGGAACAAGGUGCCAAUUCUAUGUGCUGACAGGAGGACGAUGUACAAAAUCAAACACUCUGAGUUGAAAGUAAGAAGGAAACUAGAUACAUCUCCAUUGGCAGCAUUACUCUCCACAAACCUCAAAUGAUAAAUGUGUUAUGCAUGUGUCAUUGAGGGCGUAGUGACCUGAGGAACAGUGGAGCAGAGGAAGAGACAGGGAUAAGAAACACUGUGACUAUGUCUUAAAUGGCACCCUAUUUCCUAGGUAAUGCGCUAAUUAAGAGUUGGAGCUAACUGUACCAGUCAAAAGUUUAGACACACCACUCUAAUGAGGGGUAACUAUGUCGAAACGUUUGACUAGUACUGGAUAUGGUCCCUGGUCAAAUGCUGUUCACUAUACAUGGAAUAGGGUACCAUUUGGGAAACAUCCUUAACCCUGUAUUUUGUUUUAUUAUGUUUCCAAUUAUUGAUACGAUCAGAGCCAGAGAUAGAAUACUGCUGCUUCGUGAGAAUGGUCUACAGAGGAAUGCUGAGAAUGACAUUAAUUAUUUAUUUAAAAUGUUGAUGACAGGAUUAAACGCCUUCAGAUGAGAAACAGAGAGAGAUAGAAAUCUAGUUUUCUAGGAAUUCAUGCCAGCAGGGCUGAUGGAGAGACAGAGAGACAGAGAGACUGAGACGGAGACUUAGAAACUGAGAUAGAGACAGAUACAUGUGAACUGAGAAAGACGAAGAAAGACAGAGACAGAGAGAUACUGAAACAGAUGGAGAGGAGUGAAACUGACCAACAAAGACACUGACAGAAACUGACCAAGACAAAAGGACUGACAGAGACUGAAAAAGACAGAGAGACUGACAGAGACUGAACAAGACAUAGAGACUGACAGAGACUGACCAAGACAAAGAUGCCAGUAUAUAGGGAAUAGGGUGUUACAAUGUAGGGAGUAGGUUGUCACUAUAUAGGGUGUUACAAUGUAGGGAGUAGGUUGUCACUAUAUAGGGAGUUACAAUAUAGGGAGUAGGUUGUCACUAUAUAGGGAGUUACAAUGUAGGGAGUAGGUUGUCACUAUAUAGGGAGUAGGGUGUCAGUAUAUAGGGGGUAGCAUGCCAGUAAAUAGGGAGUAGGGUGUCAGUAUAUAGGGAGUAGGGUAUUAGUAUAUAGGUAGUAGGGUGCCACUGUAUAGGGAGUAACAUGCCAGUAAAUAGGGCGUAGGGUGUCACUAUAUAGGGCGUAGGGUGUCACUAUAUAGGGAGUAGGGUGUUAUUAUAUAGGGAGUAGGGUGUCACUAUAUAGGGCGUAGGGUGUCACUAUAUAGGGAGUAGGGUGUUACUAUAUAGGGCGUAGGGUGUCACUAUAUAGGGAGUAGGGUGUCACUAUAUAGGGUGUAGGGUGUCACUAUAUAGGGAGUAGGGUGUUACUAUAUAGGGAGUAGGGUGUUACUAUAUAGGGAGUAGGGUGUCACUGUAUAGGGCGUAGGGUGUCACUAUAUAGGGAGUAGGGUGUCACUAUAUAGGGCGUAGGGUGUCACUAUAUAGGGAGUAGGGUGUCACUAUAUAGGGAGUAGGGUGUUACUAUAUAGGGAGUAGGGUGUCACUAUAUAGGGAGUAGGGUGUCACUAUAUAGGGAGUAGGGUGUUACUAUAUAGGGCGUAGGGUGUCACUAUAUAGGGAGUAGGGUGUCACUGUAUAGGGCGUAGGGUGUCACUAUAUAGGGAGUAGGGUGUCACUAUAUAGGGAGUAGGGUGUCACUGUAUAGGGCGUAGGGUGUCACUAUAUAAGGAGGAGGGUGUCACUAUAUAAGGAGUAGGGUGUCACUGUAUAGGGCGUAGGGUGUCACUAUAUAAGGAGGAGGGUGCUACUAUAUAGGUAGUAGGGUGCUACUAUAUAGGUAGUAGGGUGCUACUAUAUAGGUAGUAGGGUGCUACUAUAUAGGUAGUAGGGUGCUACUAUAUAGGGUGCCAUUAUAUAGGGUGCCAGACUAGUAAUCCCAAGAGAAGCUAGACCAGGCAGCAUCUAAUCUAGAGACUGUAUAUGUAUCCACAGCUGCACAGACACUAACAAACAGGACACCCACCCAUGCAGUGUCUAGGAUAAGAACCCUUGGCACCUACAUGACAACGAGCUGGACCAUAUCACGUCACACAAAACAUUAAACACACCAGCCAACAGCAACAGCAACAUUUCUAAACUAGAGACUACCAUGGACACACUCUGCUAUGCCUUAGCACUAUGCACUAUAGACAGACAGACCGAUUGAACGUAAGGUUUACCUCUGUCUGAAAAUGUCAUGCACGCAAAAAAAAACUCAGACGAAAAGAAAACGAGAAGAAUAUGCCAAGUAAUAAGAAAACUAAUCUUAGCAGCAGACAUUUUCUUGCUAUUCUGGGGGUGUUUCCUUACGCUGUGCUUGUUUUUCAUAAUGCAGUUUCAACACUUUUUCUGCUUCUCUGGUGGAAAUCACACAAUGGUCAAUACUGAUUGCUUUAUUUUUUCAGUGUUGUACCCCCUCUCGCGUUUGUUAUUGCAGAACAGGAGGGUAUGCAGGACCUGGGAUGGGGGGUUCGGACUGUGGGUGCUGCUGAAACGGCACAAUCUCUCCAUUUCUGUCUAAUAAUGUGAAAACAUGUUAAGGGUUUGUGUGUGUCUGCGUGUGUGUGUUUGUGUGUGUACCAGCUCACCAGACCUGUCCCAGGUAUGUGGACGGUGAGUGGACCCCCAGUACAGAUUCAGACACACAGGUAUGCUGCGCUGUCUGCCACUUCCUGUGGUGUAUCUGUGCAUUGGUGUGUGAUGACGUGCUGAGAGGGCUGGCGGCAUAGACACGGAACACUGGAGAUACCUUCUGUGUUCCAGAACUCAGCAGGAUCCACAACCCAGUAAAACAAUACCUCUGUGGCCUAGCCACUCAAGGCUCUCUCUCUCUCUCUCUCUCUCAUUUUCUUUAUCUUACACGCACGCACGCACACACACACACACACACAGACACACACGCGCACAUCCACACAUAUAUAAACAAAUAACUGUGUUUAAGUGCGUUGAGGAAUGAAUCCACCUACACACCUGCCCAAAAGAAUGUAGGCUUGGGCAGUGUCUUUCCAGUGUGGGGGGCACCUCCCAUGGAGCACUGUGCCGCGGAGCCAUGGGGAAGUGGCUAUUCCUGUGGUGUAGGGGUUAGGGUUCUGUCCCAAAGAGCACCCUAUUCUUAUUAUAGGGCCCUUUUUUGGCCAGAGGGUGUUGGGCAGGGUUAAGGGUAUAAUGUAUACAAGGUUGCUAUUUAGGAGGUACCAGGGAUAUGGAGUAAAGGAGCCGUUGGUUAAACUGGCCAUCAGGAAAACCACUGGCACAGCACUCUGAGCCAAAUGGAACUAAUUCUGACCAUAUCGUGCUGCAUAUGGGAAAACCUCUAAGCCCUAGUGUUCCAGCCCGGAUUAAGCAUGGUCCUGGACUUCAAAAGCACUUUCAAUGGAGAAUCUUAAUUUAGCAUACUUAUAAACCCAGGACUGAAGCUAUAUGAAUGGUAUUGAAACUGGUCAUAUGUGGCUCCUAAAAUUCAGAUAUAAAGAUAAUUUUUAAUACAUCAAAUAUAAUAAGAAUAUGGGACAGGUCUACCUG